GACGAACGCUGGCGGCGUGCUUAACACAUGCAAGUCGAACGGAAAGGCCCUGCUUUUGUGGGGUGCUCGAGUGGCGAACGGGUGAGUAACACGUGAGUAACCUGCCCUUGACUUUGGGAUAACUUCAGGAAACUGGGGCUAAUACCGGAUAGGAGCUCCUGCUGCAUGGUGGGGGUUGGAAAGUUUCGGCGGUUGGGGAUGGACUGGCGGCUUAUCAGCUUGUUGGUGGGGUAGUGGCAUACCAAGGCUUUGACGGGUAGCCGGCCUGAGAGGGUGAACGGCCACAUUGGGACUGCGAUACGGCCCAGACUCCUACGGGAGGCAGCAGUGGGAAAUAUUGCACAAUGGGCGGAAGCCUGAUGCAGCAACGCCGCGUGCGUGAUGACGGCCUUUGGGUUGUGAACCGCUUUCGCCUGUGACGAAGCGUGAGUGACGGUAAUGGAUAAAGAAGCACCGGCUAACUACGUG
RNAcentral lists this ribosomal RNA (468 nucleotides) under uncultured bacterium. RNAcentral's name for it is "partial 16S ribosomal RNA". It matches the Rfam family "Bacterial small subunit ribosomal RNA", at positions 28 to 507 of the family's 1533-position model. The record is from RNAcentral.